AAAUAAAGAUUAAAUGGCCAUAGCCAUGAGAUCUCCAACUGCAUACAAGAAUAACCUGAGAGACUGACAGCACAGGUCAGCAUAAUACCUGUAGCUGCCACUCAACUCUCCUAUAUUU
RNAcentral lists this small nucleolar RNA (118 nucleotides) under Erinaceus europaeus (western European hedgehog). Its description in RNAcentral is "Small nucleolar RNA SNORA44". It matches the Rfam family "Small nucleolar RNA SNORA44". From Rfam's summary of the family: ACA44 is a member of the H/ACA class of snoRNA that guide the sites of modification of uridines to pseudouridines. The record is from Rfam by way of RNAcentral. Lineage: Eukaryota; Metazoa; Chordata; Mammalia; Eulipotyphla; Erinaceidae.